CACACCGCCCGUCGCUACUACCGAUUGAAUGGCUCAGUGAGGCGUUCGGACUGGCCCAGAGAGGUGGGCAACUACCACUCAGGGCCGGAAAGUUCUCCAAACUCGGUCAUUUAGAGGAAGUAAAAGUCGUAACAAGGUCUCCGUUGGUGAACCAGCGGAGGGAUCAUUA
RNAcentral lists this ribosomal RNA (169 nucleotides) under Stromatonectria caraganae. RNAcentral describes it as "partial 18S ribosomal RNA". It matches the Rfam family "Eukaryotic small subunit ribosomal RNA", at positions 1665 to 1831 of the family's 1831-position model. Lineage: Eukaryota; Fungi; Ascomycota; Sordariomycetes; Hypocreales; Bionectriaceae. The record is from RNAcentral.